GAAAUGCGAUAAGUAGUGUGAAUUGCAGAGUUCAGUGAAUCAUCGAAUCUUUGGACGCACAUUGCGCCCCUUGGUAUUCCAUGGGGCAUGCCUGUUCGAGCGUCAUUUGUACCUUCAAGCUUUGCUUGGUGUUGGGUGUUUGUCUCGCCUCUGCGUGUAGACUCGCCUCAAAACAAUUGGCAGCCGGCGUAUUGAUUUCGGAGCGCAGUACAUCUCGCGCUUUGCACUCAUAACGACGACGUCCAAAAGUACAUUUUUACACUCUUGACCUCGGAUCAGGUAGGGAUACCCGCUGAACUUAAGC
This 304-nucleotide unclassified non-coding RNA is filed under the name plant metagenome. RNAcentral's name for it is "partial contains 5.8S ribosomal RNA, internal transcribed spacer 2, and large subunit ribosomal RNA". The stretch from base 1 to 105 matches the Rfam family "5.8S ribosomal RNA", at positions 50 to 154 of the family's 154-position model. The record is from RNAcentral.